This 160-nucleotide ribosomal RNA is filed under the name Taxandria marginata. Its description in RNAcentral is "5.8S ribosomal RNA". It matches the Rfam family "5.8S ribosomal RNA". Rfam says of the family: 5.8S ribosomal RNA (5.8S rRNA) is a component of the large subunit of the eukaryotic ribosome. It is transcribed by RNA polymerase I as part of the 45S precursor that also contains 18S and 28S rRNA. Functionally, it is thought that 5.8S rRNA may be involved in ribosome translocation. The record is from RNAcentral. Lineage: Eukaryota; Viridiplantae; Streptophyta; Magnoliopsida; Myrtales; Myrtaceae.
CGACUCUCGGCAACGGAUAUCUCGGCUCUCGCAUCGAUGAAGAACGUAGCGAACUGCGAUACUUGGUGUGAAUUGCAGAAUCCCGUGAAUCAUCGAGUCUUUGAACGCAAGUUGCGCCCGAAGCCGUUUGGCCGAGGGCACGUUUGCCUGGGUGUCACAC